Molecule: small nuclear RNA, 108 nt
Organism: Tupaia belangeri (northern tree shrew)
Lineage: Eukaryota; Metazoa; Chordata; Mammalia; Scandentia; Tupaiidae
Source: Ensembl
GUGCUCGCUUUGGCUGCACAUACACUAAAAGAGGAAUGAUACAGAGAAGAUUAGCAUGGCCUCUGCGCGCCUUUGGUUUUUAUUAUUGUAGAGAAACACAGAUUCUUC